AACGAACGCUGGCGGCAUGCCUAACACAUGCAAGUCGAACGAGACCUUCGGGUCUAGUGGCGCACGGGUGCGUAACGCGUGGGAACCUGCCCUUAGGUUCGGAAUAACUCCCCGAAAGGGGUGCUAAUACCGGAUAAUGUCUUCGGACCAAAGAUUUAUCGCCUUUGGAUGGGCCCGCGUUGGAUUAGCUAGUUGGUAGGGUAAAAGCCUACCAAGGCGACGAUCCAUAGCUGGUCUGAGAGGAUGAUCAACCACACUGGGACUGAGACACGGCCCAGACUCCUACGGGAGGCAGCAGUGGGGAAUAUUGGACAAUGGGCGAAAGCCUGAUCCAGCAAUGCCGCGUGAGUGAUGAAGGCCUUAGGGUUGUAAAGCUCUUUUACCCGGGAUGAUAAUGACAGUACCAGGAGAAUAAGCUCCGGCUAACUCCGUG
RNAcentral lists this ribosomal RNA (433 nucleotides) under uncultured bacterium. RNAcentral describes it as "partial 16S ribosomal RNA". It matches the Rfam family "Bacterial small subunit ribosomal RNA", at positions 29 to 507 of the family's 1533-position model. The record is from RNAcentral.